GUCCCUUCGGGGACAUCCGAUAAAAUUGGAACGAUAUAGAGAAAAUUAGCAUGGCCCUGCGCAAGGAUGACACGCACAAAUCGAGAAAAGUAUAUGUGAAUU
Cannabis sativa is the source of this 102-nucleotide small nuclear RNA. The record is from RefSeq and is a predicted model, not a curated record. Lineage: Eukaryota; Viridiplantae; Streptophyta; Magnoliopsida; Rosales; Cannabaceae.